Molecule: ribosomal RNA, 482 nt
Filed under: uncultured bacterium
Lineage: Bacteria
Description: partial 16S ribosomal RNA
Rfam family: Bacterial small subunit ribosomal RNA
Source: RNAcentral
AUUGAACGCUGGCGGCAUGCCUUACACAUGCAAGUCGAACGGUAACAGGUCUUCGGAUGCUAACGAGUGGCGAACGGGUGAGUAAUACAUCGGAACGUGCCCGAUCGUGGGGGAUAACGAGGCGAAAGCUUUGCUAAUACCGCAUACGAUCUACGGAUGAAAGCGGGGGAUCUUCGGACCUCGCGCGGACGGAGCGGCCGAUGGCAGAUUAGGUAGUUGGUGGGAUAAAAGCUUACCAAGCCGACGAUCUGUAGCUGGUCUGAGAGGAUGAUCAGCCACACUGGGACUGAGACACGGCCCAGACUCCUACGGGAGGCAGCAGUGGGGAAUUUUGGACAAUGGGCGAAAGCCUGAUCCAGCCAUGCCGCGUGCAGGAUGAAGGCCUUUGGGUUGUAAACUGCUUUUGUACGGAACGAAAAGCCUCUUUCUAAUAAAGAGGGGUCAUGACGGUACCGUAAGAAUAAGCACCGACUAACUACGUG